CGCCGCCGCGAGCCCCGCCGGCUCGGGCCACCCGCCUCCCCCGGCCGGACCCCCCGCCCGUCCCUUCACCGGCACCGGCAGCUUCCCGGGGGCCGCAGGCCAAGUGCUCCCUCCCCGCGGCGGCUCCGGCGCUGGAGGCUGCAGCGAGCGGCGGAAGCGGCCGCGCUGCAGGGACCGGGGCUGCAGGCUCCCUCGGCCCGGCCCGGGCUUCUCCUCCCCCUCCCGGUCCCCCGGGCCCUUUUGUUUUCCAUGGCACCGACCCACACCAGAUCUCGCCUUCCCAGGCCCUGCGAUCGCAGGGAAAAUAACUCCGGGCCUUCCCCCCCGCGCCCUCCUCCCAGUGAAUUCCUGGUGGAGCCGMGCCGCUCCUGGCCCAGCUCUCCGCCCCGGGAGCCGCCGGCCGCGCCGCUCCCGCCCGGGCAGCACGAUGCCGGGCGCAGCACCCGCAGGCUCUGCCUCCUGGGAGCCCCASCCCCACCUCGGCGUUCGGGCCAAAGGGGACCCUGUCCGCCUGUCCCCCCUCGCAGGGGACAUCUCGGGGGCGCUAGGACCGAGGAUGGGUGGCUUCCGACGGGAGAGGACGAGUCGGCUGCUGAAGGACCCUGCGGGUUGAUAUCGCUGGCGUCCCCGAUCCUGGACUGACGUCAGGGCGGAGAUGCAAGGCCCUGACGGCAGAGCCUCUGGUCCGCGCUUGGGGCUGCCUACACGCACUGUGAGGUGACGUCACCCACUGACCGCACCGGCACGUCCUAAUCAGCUUCAGAGGACAUCUGGGAGGGUUCUGGGAUUCUGAACCAGCAGAGGACACAGAGCAGGCCUGACUUUAGAGGAACUGGCCUAACUCUGCCUGCUUACAUCAGUGAAGCAGAUCAAAGAUGCUGCUCUGGCUAAUUCUACAGGGACCUAGGACUUGCACUUCCUGGAUCAUCACUUGAGGAUUUUCAUCUCAUUUCACCGCCUGGACACCACGGCGGCGGGGAAACAACAGUGUCACGGCUUCCAUACUGGCUGUGGCUGCCCGUGGAGAGGUUUGGAGCUGCCGUUACCGUGCAGCCGCGUUCCCACACAGCCCCGCUUAGCCUGUGCGCAGCUGCGGGAUUCUCGCUGUCUUCUGCAGGGUCUCCGGCCCCUUCACCUGACCGAGCCCCACAGGGGACACAGCCAAGGACCCCGCGCCAGUAGCAGUGGGUGAGAUCUCCAAUGUUGGGGGUGGCCGUAACAAGGAGAGAACUGUGGCGUUAUUUUGCCUCGAGUUCUUUGUUUGGGUGAGGGAUGAUUUGGGSGCAGGAGGGGGUAGAGGUGAAAGCCUCUUUAUUUUGGGAUUGCCACGGGCAGACAGUGCCAUACGGCUUCACCAAGCYUAGGUGUGUUUGGUAGGGUGACUGUGGUCACUACUUAAGUGCUUGUCAGCCCGGUCUGCCUGGUGCCAGGUGCUGURUGUGGUCCAAAGAGCCCCACUCCUCUCUCUCCCCGUGGUCUGCUGUCCUGAGGGAGAGGCCUGUCGUUGCCCAGCUGGAGGAGAGGAAAAGCCGCUGGGGACUUGCAGAGGCUCCUCGCCCUGGGCACUGCGGAAGGAUGCGGAGGGCUGGAGGCUGGGAGACGUGAGGGGCAGGGAGGGGGUGAGCGGCGGGUGGAGG
Long non-coding RNA from Dromaius novaehollandiae (emu), 1637 nucleotides. The record is from Ensembl. NCBI's taxonomy places the organism in Eukaryota, Metazoa, Chordata, Aves, Casuariiformes, Dromaiidae.